GACAGAGGGUGCAAACGUUGUUCGGAUUUACUGGGCGUAAAGGGUGUGUAGGCUGUUCAACAAGUCAGGAGUGAAAUCCCCAGGCUCAACCUGGGAAUUGCUUUUGAUACUGUUGGGCUUGAGUACGGAAGAGGUGAGUGGAAUUCCCAGUGUAGAGGUAGAAUUCGUAGAUAUUGGGAGGAACACCAGUGGCGAAGGCGGCUCACUGGUCCGUAACUGACGCUGAGACACGAAAGCGUGGGGAGCAAACAGG
RNAcentral lists this ribosomal RNA (253 nucleotides) under uncultured bacterium. Its description in RNAcentral is "partial 16S ribosomal RNA". It matches the Rfam family "Bacterial small subunit ribosomal RNA", at positions 524 to 776 of the family's 1533-position model. The record is from RNAcentral.